RNAcentral lists this long non-coding RNA (1362 nucleotides) under Dromaius novaehollandiae (emu). RNAcentral's name for it is "lncRNA (ENSDNVG00000014935.1)". The record is from RNAcentral. Lineage: Eukaryota; Metazoa; Chordata; Aves; Casuariiformes; Dromaiidae.
AAAAGAGCGGGUGAUGUCCUAACAUGCCGCUGUUGCUUAAUGGUUGUGUUGUCGGGCUGAAGAGGGCGGAGUGGUGGCAGGCGACGCGAGAAAGGAAAGGCGAUGCGCCCUCAGGAAACGGUAGCCAUGCAAGAUGGGUGGAUCUCCAUCAGCAGCAAGCCCUGUCUACUCUGUGGAGUGCAGAUGGUGCACCAGCGCAAGUCCACCAGCAAAUGACGCUUGCUCUAGAUUCACAUCAGUCUCAUCAGGAUCCGCAUGSAGUCAGUUGUGAGCCAGKUGUGACCACCACGGUUGCAAGACCUUGCAUGAGUGAGAAGUGGACUCUGUGCAAGGAGAUCUGCACAAUGCAAAUGCUGUCCUGAUAUGCCACAAGUGAAAAGAGCUCAGCGCCUAGUGAAUAUUGUUGUAGUGGAGAUCUGACAGAAGUUGCCAUAUACUUUAGUUGACUUAUAYUCCUGUGGCAGGAUCAGGUAAAAGACUGGGACCCAAGUCGUCAGUGGUUCUGAAUGCCUUAAUGUUUUGAAAUCAUUUUGCCACACCUAGUGAGCCACAAAAAGCUGAAAAAAGCUUUUGUCUUUAUUUACUUGAAURGGUUAUGGGUCUUCUCACUUUAUUUACUUGCGCCUUCAGUCCCAGCCUGACCACACUGGUUUUGUGCUAAGGGGUGCCUAGAAAAUGUAAAAGCAUUAAGCAAGUAUUAAACAUUUCUUAUUUCUACAGCAAGCCUAUUUUCAAGUGAUAAUUUUAAAUAUCUGUUCUGUUUUGCUCUCCYCUAAAUUUGCAGCAGAAUUCCACACCAAUUAAAACACUGAUUUAUUUAAAAUAUAACUAAUAAGCUUUCUUUGUCCUCUCUCUCCUGCUGGAAAAUCCCACCUGAUCCCUAAUUAACAAAUUGAUUUAUUAAAAGUGUAACUAAUGACCUCCCUUUGUCCUUUUCUUUGAGCUACAGAAUCCCACCUGAUCCCAAAUUAUCACAUUGAUUUAUUUAAAUUAAUACAUGCAUUGCAUAGUUUCUUUAUUUUGCCCCUCACUGUAUGCCUCAGGCAUAUGUUCCAAGUCAAGUGUUGAGGCUCUGAUUUUACCACUCACAGAGCAAAUACUUUAAGAAAAAAAUACAUGUUUAAAAUGCCAGACUGUACCCUUAUGUUUUUAAUUAUUCAAGUGUUCCUACUAUUAAGAUCAAUAUGAAGUCAUGGAURGUAACUUGCAAGAUGAACCUUGCAGAUCCUAUUCCAACAAAUCACUUAAGCACAUGUUUGUCUUCAAGCCUACUAGCAUGAGUGGAUCUCCGCAGGUCACUGUCACUGAGUAUGUGCAUGAAGUGCUUUGCUAAGUAAGCAGUGCCCUGAAGAGAAACCCCUU